GCGGCGGACGGGUUAGUAACGCGUGGGAACAUACCCUUCUCUAUGGAAUAGCCUUGGGAAACUGAGAGUAAUACCAUAUACGCCCUUCGGGGGAAAGAUUUAUCGGAGAAGGAUUGGCCCGCGUAAGAUUAGAUAGUUGGUGGGGUAAUGGCCUACCAAGUCUACGAUCUUUAGCUGGUUUUAGAGGAUGAUCAGCAACACUGGGACUGAGACACGGCCCAGACUCCUACGGGAGGCAGCAGUGGGGAAUCUUAGACAAUGGGCGAAAGCCUGAUCUAGCCAUGCCGCGUGAGUGAUGAAGGCCUUAGGGUCGUAAAGCUCUUUCGCCAGAGAUGAUAAUGACAGUAUCUGGUAAAGAAGUCCCGGCUAACUCCGUGCCAGCAGCCGCGGUAAUACGGAGGGGACUAGCGUUGUUCGGAAUUACUGGGCGUAAAGCGUACGUAGGCGGAUCAGAAAGUAUGGGGUGAAAUCCCAGGGCUCAACCCUGGAACUGCCUCAUAAACUCCUGGUCUUGAGUUCGAGAGAGGUGAGUGGAAUUCCGAGUGUAGAGGUGAAAU
Molecule: ribosomal RNA, 557 nt
Filed under: Leisingera sp. I14B-01179
Lineage: Bacteria; Pseudomonadati; Pseudomonadota; Alphaproteobacteria; Rhodobacterales; Roseobacteraceae
Description: bacterial SSU rRNA
Rfam family: Bacterial small subunit ribosomal RNA
Source: RNAcentral